Long non-coding RNA from Oncorhynchus keta (chum salmon), 735 nucleotides. RefSeq lists it as uncharacterized. Lineage: Eukaryota; Metazoa; Chordata; Actinopteri; Salmoniformes; Salmonidae. The record is from RefSeq and is a predicted model, not a curated record. The transcript is spliced from 4 exons.
UAACUGUAGUUGUUGUCUGUCCAGGUCAGGGUUUGUCAGAUAUAACUGUAGUUGUUGUCUAUCCAGGUCAGGGUUUGUCAGAUAUAACUGUAGUUGUUGUCUAUCCAGGUCAGGGUUUGUCAGAUAUAACUGUAGUUGUCUGUCCAGGUCAGGGUUUGUCAGAUAUAACUGUAGUUGUUGUCUAUCCAGGUCAGGGUUUGUCAGAUAUAACUGUAGUUGUUGUCUAUCCAGGUCAGGGUUUGUCAGAUAUAACUGUAGUUGUUGUCUGUCCAGGUCAGGGUUUGUCAGAUAUAACUGUAGUUGUUGUCUAUCCAGGUCAGGGUUUGUCAGAUAUAACUGUAGUUGUUGUCUAUCCAGGUCAGGGUUUGUCAGAUAUAACUGUUGUUGUUGUCUGUCCAGGUCAGGGUUUGUCAGAUAUAACUGUAGUUGUUGUCUAUCCAGGUCAGGGUUUGUCAGAUAUAACUGUAGUUGUUGUCUGUCCAGGUCAGGGUUUGUCAGAUAUAACUGUAGUUGUUGUCUGUCCAGGUCAGGGUUUGUCAGAUAUAACUGUAGUUGUUGUCUAUCCAGGUCAGGGUUUGUCAGAUAUAACUGUAGUUGUUGUCUAUCCAGGUCAGGGUUUGUCAGAUAUAACUGUAGUUGUUGUCUAUCCAGGUCAGGGUUUGUCAGAUAUAACUGUAGUUGUUGUCUAUCCAGGUCAGGGUUUGUCAGAUAUAACUGUAGUUGUUGUCUGUCCAG